CCGCCGCGCCCGGGACGGCGCCCCCGCCCCGAAGCCCCGCGCCGGCGCCAGAGAGCCCCGCCAAGCUGGAACCCAAGCCCAUCGUGCCCAAAGCCGAACCCAAGGUCAAGGCCCGCAAGACGGAGGCCCGAGGGCUGACCAAGGCUGGGGCCAAGAAGAAGGCUCGGAAGGAGGCCGCGGCGGCGGCAGAGGUCGAGGUGGAGGAGGUCCCCAACACCGUCCUCAUCUGCAUGGUGAUCCUGCUGAACAUCGGUCUGGCCAUCCUCUUCGUUCACCUCCUGACCUGACCUCGUCCCCCAGAGCCAGGAGUUCCUGCUGAGGACGCAUGGAGCCAUCUUUUGCAGUGCCAGGCAGGGCGGCUGAGGAGGACUGGACGUGGAUGCUGGGGGUCCACUCGCAUCCACACCACGAACGUUUAAGGAGGCUUCCCGUGGCAUCUGUGCCCAGAUGCAGGCGGUGCCGAGAGGAAGAGAAAAGCUCUCUGCCCAGCAGCAGGGAAAGCCCUGAAAGGAGAGCCCUGGUCUUGAACUUCCCAAUCUGCUUCAUCCCCCAUCCCGUCCACUCCCCCGCCUCCACCCCUACCCUAGGUCACCCCCUCCCCAGGCUUUUUGUGUUUUGGGAGAAGUCACCAAACCAGGAUGUUAAAUCCCAGCCUCCUCCUUCCUACCCUCCUUGGCUUUAUUUUAAACUUCUGAGGCCUCCCAGGAAGCGGAGGAAGUGACGAGAUCUCUGUGGUGGGUCAUGGAGGGUGAUGCUCUCAGCCCACCAGCCCUUCUUGUCUCAGUCCUGACCCCUCCCACACUCUGUCCCUUGCUUCCAGAUGCUCAGGAUGACAAUAGAGGAAAUGGACGUCUUCUGUUUGAAUAUCCCAGAAUACAGUGCUUCCGUCUCCUCCCACCGGUCCAGUUAGCUUCCCUCUGGACCAGCAGGAGAG
RNAcentral lists this long non-coding RNA (934 nucleotides) under Capra hircus (goat). RNAcentral describes it as "lncRNA (ENSCHIG00010009413.1)". Lineage: Eukaryota; Metazoa; Chordata; Mammalia; Artiodactyla; Bovidae. The record is from RNAcentral.